This 679-nucleotide long non-coding RNA is filed under the name Mytilus galloprovincialis (Mediterranean mussel). Lineage: Eukaryota; Metazoa; Mollusca; Bivalvia; Mytilida; Mytilidae. The record is from RNAcentral.
GUAAAAUUUGAAAUAAAUAUCAUAUAGAAUGAUUUUCUGGUUCAUUUACAGGCAGCGACUUUCCAGUUGGACAGUGCACCCUUUAUUUACUUUGUUUAAGUUUAAAUAAAUAAAGUACUCUAAGUCUUGUGUUUGUUUGUUUUUAUUUAUUAUAUUGAGUUGUGUGAUUUAUGGUUACAUUUUGUCUCUAUAAUUUGGAACUCCAUCAUCCGAAUUGAUAAAUAGAAAAUAAUAAGAUAAUUUGCAAAAUUAAUAUAAAAAAAGGAGUUUAAUUUAUAUUAACAAUCUUGUGACUAUCCUAAGACCAUCAUAAGUAACCUCUCGUGAAGUCUUUAAUUUCUGAUCAACUUUAGAAAAUGUAAAAAUUUAGGAUUAUUUUGUGAAACCCACGAAGGACUAGAACAUACUAUAAAACCAUUUGACUAGAUGAUUGCUUUUUUGAUGAAAAUCCAUAAAAUUCUUGUUUUUCCUCAUUAUUUCAUUAUACAAAUGUAUUAAUUUUAAACUAAUUCCUAUAUGAAAAAGGGAUCCUCAACACACACUUGUACUUGUAAAAGACUGUAUUAUGAGUAUACUUUAACGAUAGGUUUAAACUGGUUGUAAAUUGAUUAGCCCCUAAUUAAUUUAUGUUUUUAUAACAAUUAAUCUGUAACAAAUAAUUCAACCUAUGCCAACAUUU